AGCAACGUCAUGAUUAACGCGUAAAAGGAAAUUUUAUUUCCUAUGCCAAAUAUUAUAAUCUCUCCCGUUCUUUCCAGUUUUACUAACAUGGCUAACGCUCAGAGGCUCUCAAAUGAGCCUCUAUGGAUUGCAUUUACCAUCGUAUCCAUGUUCUUAAUAUGCUACAUGGCGAGCAUAAGUAGCGUUAUGUAUUUUAUCAGUAUGCCCUGCAAUAGAUCGUUCUAUAGGGAUCAAGGACAGAUGUACCUACAGUCCAAUACCAUAGGGAAAAUUUGCGUGGAUCCAUUUGAAAACUUCAAAGGAUUGACUGAAGUGAAUGGGAAAAAAUACUACAUCCACACCAGAGAGCAAACGUCCUGGCAUGUGGCAAAGGAAUUUUGCGAAGACUUUGGGAUGACGUUAGCCUCGUUGAAAACGGAAAAAGAGAUGAUCGACCUGUUUCAUGCAACGCACAAUGUCUCUGAAUUUUAUUCAUGGUGGGUGUCUGCCAAGUAUGAUGGAGCCGUUUUCAAAUGGGAGGAUGGAACUGUCUUAGGAUUGGACAGUAAAAUUUGGGGAAAAAAUUAUUCGCAACCUAAUACCUACCUUAAGAACAAAAACGUUUGCACUGAUUUUCAUUCUGGAACCUACUCUGGUUUGCAUGACAGUCCUUGCUCAGCGAAUUACAGAUUCAUAUGUGAGACAAAUUUGAACUACCUGCGUGCUUGCAGUAUAAAUAAAACAACAUGAAAUGUUUUAUAUAUUAAUAUGUUCUAAUGUAUAUUUUUCCUGCUGGACAACUGUUCUUCAAGCCUGCUUAUGGAACUCAUUUUAGGAUGUAAUAAUUCUUUUUUACUUUCAAAAUGGAAGUUGGUUUGUUUUUUAUUUGUUUUUAUCUACAAAUUAAAUUGCUUUAUGUGUUUGCAUAUUGUAUUUUAUGACCAUGACAAAAUUAAAAGUAUGGAAACAUCGCUAAAUUGCUCUGCUGAUCCUCAGUAAAAUUACUUUUGAAUCUAUAUUAAUUUUAAAUGCUUUAUUUUGCCGCAUAUAAUUAAUAUUUGUCUGUGUAUUAAUUAAGUUAUUAACAAAGUGACAAAUUAAAGAGUAUUUUAACCGAGA
Molecule: long non-coding RNA, 1098 nt
Organism: Cloeon dipterum
Lineage: Eukaryota; Metazoa; Arthropoda; Insecta; Ephemeroptera; Baetidae
Exons: 5
Source: RefSeq, a predicted model, not a curated record